RNAcentral lists this ribosomal RNA (474 nucleotides) under uncultured bacterium. Its description in RNAcentral is "SSU rRNA". It matches the Rfam family "Bacterial small subunit ribosomal RNA", at positions 26 to 518 of the family's 1533-position model. The record is from RNAcentral.
AGGAUAAACGCUGGCGGCGUGCAUGAGACAUGCAAGUCGAACGGGUUCUCGGGCUUGCUCGAGAGCUAGUGGCGGACGGCUGAGUAACGCGUAGGUGACCUGCCCCGAAGUGGGGAAUAACUGCCCGAAAGGGUGGCUAAUACCGCAUGUGAUCGCUCAUUCAUUUGUUCGAUCAAAGCAGUAAUGCGCUUCGGGAGGGGCCUGCGUCCGAUUAGCUCGUUGGUGGGGUAAUGGCUCACCAAGGCGACGAUCGGUAGGUGGUCUGAGAGGACGAUCACCCAGACUGGGACUGAGACACGGCCCAGACUCCUACGGGAGGCAGCAGUGGGGAAUCUUGCGCAAUGGGCGAAAGCCUGACGCAGCGACGCCGCGUGGGGGAUGAAGGCCUUCGGGUUGUAACCCCUUUCAGCAGGGACGAAGCGAAAGUGACGGUACCUGCAGAAGAAGCGCCGGCUACUACGUGCCAGCAGCCGC